This 132-nucleotide ribosomal RNA is filed under the name Helianthus annuus (common sunflower). Lineage: Eukaryota; Viridiplantae; Streptophyta; Magnoliopsida; Asterales; Asteraceae. The record is from RNAcentral.
AUGUGCGAUCAUACCAGCACUAAUGCACCGGAUCCCAUCGAACUCCGCAGUUAAGCGUGCUUGGGCGAGAGUAGUACUAGGACAUUGUGACAUCCCACAUCGGUUGUGAAGGGGAACAAAGGCUUCCUUAUA